This 253-nucleotide ribosomal RNA is filed under the name uncultured bacterium. RNAcentral describes it as "partial 16S ribosomal RNA". It matches the Rfam family "Bacterial small subunit ribosomal RNA", at positions 524 to 776 of the family's 1533-position model. The record is from RNAcentral.
UACGUAGGGGGCAAGCGUUGUCCGGAAUUAUUGGGCGUAAAGAGCGUGUAGGCGGUCCGGUAAGUCAGCUGUGAAAGUCAAGGGCUCAACCCUUGAAUGCCGGUUGAUACUGUCGGGCUAGAGUCCGGAAGAGGCGAGUGGAAUUCCCGGUGUAGCGGUGAAAUACGUAGAGAUUGGGAAGAACACCAGUGGCGAAGGCGGCUAUCUGGACGGUUUCUGACACUAAGACUCGAAAGCGUGGGGAGCAAACAGG